RNAcentral lists this RNase P RNA (401 nucleotides) under Roseateles aquatilis. RNAcentral's name for it is "Bacterial RNase P class A". It matches the Rfam family "Bacterial RNase P class A". From Rfam's summary of the family: Ribonuclease P (RNase P) is a ubiquitous endoribonuclease, found in archaea, bacteria and eukarya as well as chloroplasts and mitochondria. Its best characterised activity is the generation of mature 5'-ends of tRNAs by cleaving the 5'-leader elements of precursor-tRNAs. Lineage: Bacteria; Pseudomonadati; Pseudomonadota; Betaproteobacteria; Burkholderiales; Sphaerotilaceae. The record is from Rfam by way of RNAcentral.
GAAGCAAGCCAGACCGCCGCUGGUGCGAUCGUGGAAACACGGCACUGGAGGAAGGUCCGGACUGCAUAGAGCGGCGUAGCAGCUAACGGCUGCCCGGCGAAAGCCGAGGAUCAGAGCAACAGAGACGAGUCGGACCAGGUCUGGGACGGGUGUUCUGUUCGGACGGGGCGAAAGCCCCGAGCCGGACAGCCUCCCGAACCAGGCAAAGCCUGGUUCGGGUGAAACGGGCAAUCUCUACGCGCAGCAACACCAAGUAGGCCAACGUCGAUGCGGCUCGCAGAGUUGGCGGGUAGGUGGCACCGAGCCGGGCAGCGAUGCCCGGCCCAGAGGAAUGGCGGUCACGCGGGCGAUCCGAAAGGAAGACCGGCGCACAGAAUCCGGCCUAUCGGCUUGCUUCACAC